RNAcentral lists this ribosomal RNA (257 nucleotides) under uncultured bacterium. RNAcentral's name for it is "partial 16S ribosomal RNA". It matches the Rfam family "Bacterial small subunit ribosomal RNA", at positions 524 to 776 of the family's 1533-position model. The record is from RNAcentral.
GACGUAGGGGGCCAGCGUUGCUCGGAAUUACUGGGCGUAAGGGUCCGUAGGCGGUUGCGGUAAGUCGGGAGUGAAAUCUCUGGGCUUAACUCAGAGGCUGCUUCCGAAACUACCGUGCUAGAGUGCGGAGAGAGGCAAGUGGAAUUGCGGGUGUAGCGGUGAAAUGCGUAGAUAUCCGCAGGGAACAUCCGAGGCGAAAGCGGCUUGCCUGGAUCGACAACUGACGCUGAGGGACGAAAGCUAGGGGAGCAAACAGG